This 460-nucleotide ribosomal RNA is filed under the name uncultured bacterium. RNAcentral describes it as "partial 16S ribosomal RNA". It matches the Rfam family "Bacterial small subunit ribosomal RNA", at positions 338 to 795 of the family's 1533-position model. The record is from RNAcentral.
CCUACGGGAGGCAGCAGUGAGGAAUAUUGGUCAAUGGACGAGAGUCUGAACCAGCCAAGUAGCGUGAAGGAUGACUGCCCUAUGGGUUGUAAACUUCUUUUAUAUGGGAAUAAAAUGUUCCACGUGUGGGAUUUUGUAUGUACCAUAUGAAUAAGGAUCGGCUACCUCCGUGCCAGCAGCCGCGGUAAUACGGAGGAUCCGAGCGUUCUCCGGAUUUAUUGGGUUUAAAGGGAGCGUAGGUGGAUUGUUAAGUCAGUUGUGAAAGUUUGCGGCUCAACCGUAAAAUUGCAGUUGAAACUGGCAGUCUUGAGUACAGUAGAGGUGGGCGGAAUUCGUGGUGUAGCGGUGAAAUGCUUAGAUAUCACGAAGAACUCCGAUUGCGAAGGCAGUUCACUGGACUGCAACUGACACUGAGGCUCGAAAGUGUGGGUAUCAAACAGGAUUAGAUACCCGAGUAGUC